GGCCGGCAACUCAGUCGGUAGAGCAUGAGACUCUUAAUCUCAGGGUCGUGGGUUCGGGCCCCACGUUGGGCG
Ixodes scapularis (black-legged tick) is the source of this 72-nucleotide non-coding RNA. The record is from Rfam. NCBI's taxonomy places the organism in Eukaryota, Metazoa, Arthropoda, Arachnida, Ixodida, Ixodidae.